GAAAUUCUGAGACCCACAGGCCCGAAGGAAAGUCCAAACUUUUCCAGUUGAGGAGACAGAAACUUCCAUCAAAAGUUCCAGGAGAUAAUGAAGAAGACAAUGUUUUCUAUUAUCUGUUUUUGAUUGGCCUUUUGCAAAAGGAGCCUCAUCUCGGACUCAAGGUAACAAAACAAAACACCUUUAUCUUAUCUGGAAGGGAGUGGGAUGAUCUAGGCAGGGGCUGUAUUGCUUUGUUUUUGUAACUUUGUUCCUACAGCGGCUUCUUGGAAAUGGGCUCCGAAAGAAAAAAUUCCCGAAAGGUGUAUGAGUGUGUGUAUGCGCGCGCCUGUCUCGGUAGGAGAUCUGUGGAUUUAAAAAAAAAAAAAAAAACUCCUCUAAUUCCCGCUUCGCCCAGCCAGAUUCUCCCCCUUAGCACCCUAUACUCAGGGCUACUUCCUCUGAAAAAGGCUUGGGAUCUGCCACUCUCCUCAAGAAACAAGUUUGGCUCUGUUAGCUAGAGCUUCAGGGACUGAGCCCAGGACCAGCUGGAGAGCUCUGCAGCUCCCCCUAGCCCGCCCGAGCGGGUGGCGGUCCUGGCUCCCCACACCAGCGCAGCCGGAGUCUGCGUUAGAGGAAUGCUCCCGCGCUUCUCCUGGGGCUCCCGCCCGCCCUGGGGACCCCUCCUCACCUGGCGCUGCGCUGUGCCACUUGCGGAAACCCGGAUCCCUGGGCAGACAGACGGGACUGAGAACACACCAAAUCCGAUUGCUUCUCGCCGCCAGCACUACUAGCCUCUAGCCAUGCGUUGUCACUGUGGUCACUGCGCCCUCCGCCCUCUGCGUGGCCCUAUGGUCCGACCCUCUCCUCCCCCGGCUUGGCGGGAGGAGGGACGGGGAGGAGCGUGCGACCGCCGGCCUCGCACAAACAGCUGCAGCUCGGCUUGCGAGCCUGUUCGGGUGCACUCUGCACUCUCUCCUGCUGGGGAACCCGCAACCUGGACCCCCCGGGAGCCUCCCCCGCCUCGGGAUGGGUCCCCGCAGUGCCUCCGACAGUGCUAAGCUCUCGACGUACUGUUCACACACUAGAUUCUCAUUAGGUCUGUUUCCUGCUUAACUCAUCCACAUCAAGCCUGUCUUGCUAGUUUCAUCUGUUCUCUAAAUUCACAAAGAUCACUAAAUGAUUCCGCGCCCAUCUGUCAUCUGAAAUGCAGGGUGCAUCACGCUUGUACAUACAUUGUACACUGAAUGCCAGUUUGGAAGUUGUGUGGACUGGGCUCCAGCUUGGAAAGCCUGCCGUGGUGUGUGGUGUCAGUCUCCUUUCUUUGUGCCAAGGAAAUGCAUUUGUGAGUUGGGGGAAAAUGGUGUUAUAAGGGGACAUGUUGCAAUACAGCCCAGUUUAACCCGGAGUUAUUUGAGAUUUAACUGAAACUCCUUCAUUUUCCAAUGUUGGCUCCUCUAUCCACUUUCUGAUAAAAGCAUACGCUUUUAAAGCUUUAGUCAGAAACUCAGAUAAAAUAGAGAUUUAUGUGUGGUGUUAUUAAAAUUUUGUAUUUUUAAAAUAGUAGUUUGUCAUUGGCAAAUUGACAGAACUGGAGAUGACAUUUUAUUUAUUUAUUUAGCAAAUUUUAUUCUGAGCACUGUAGUAAGAAGGCGAGGACUGUAGCUCGUUUCAUUUUUCAGUGGUGUGAUCUUGGGCAAGUCUGUUAUCAUCUCAGAUUUCUCAUCUGUAAAACACAGGUAGUCAGUCAGAAGUACCUUGUGAGAAUGAAAUGCCACUACAUGUGAAAUGCUUAGGACAGAACCUGGCAUAUGGGAAACAUUCACUCAAUAUGUGGAAUCUAAUAUUAAUAGCUGCAAAGAAGCAGUGACUUAUUUAAACAUAACAAUAAAUGAAAAUUUAGGUAAAACUGUAUCAGCCUAGUGACAAUUUCACUGUACUUCCUGUUAGAGCCGCCUGUGAUAAACUGCCCCAGAAUGUUAAUUUCAAAGAGUACAUUAUACCCCACCAAAGAAAACUCUUAAGGCCCAUCUUUGAUUGAUCUUAAGACCAGACCAAGAAGUUGGAGACUUUCAAGGCUUUGAGGAAUGGUCCUGAAAACAAUAAUGAAAUAUUUUAUUCACCUCUCUUACUGCCAGCAACAUACCAUCUCCUUCAAUCAUCAGAUUACUUUUCCGGGAAGGGAAUCCCAGAGUGAUUGGCAUUUGUUAGGUUAAUAACUUGAGGAGAUGUCCAGUGUAGUGUUCCUAGAUUUAGCAAACAAACAACAAACAAACAAACAAGAAAUGCAGGACUGUCAGUUGAAUUUGAAUUUCACAUAAACAACAAAUAACUUUUGGUAUGUCUUAUGCAAUAUUUGGAACAUACUCGACAAAAUUAUUUGUUGUUUACCUGAAAUUCAAAUUUAACUGGGCUUCCUGCCAUAUCUGACAAUCCUAAUAAAUGGAAUUAGUAAAGAAUAUUCCUCACAUUCCAAAAAGACAAGUCAACACAGGCAGAUUAAAGGUGAAUUUGAUGUGGGUUAUUUUAAAAUUUUAUGUGGUAAAGAAAAAGUGGAGUUGUGUUUAUAAGUUGAUUUGUUAUUGAGCUACUUCUUACCUCUUAGUUUCUGCCCGUAUCUCCACUGACAGCAAUACUUACUUACUAUUUAGUAUAAGUAAAAGUGGUUGCUUUUUGCUUUAUUCAAUAUAUUGAAUAUAAAUACAAUAAUGUAUUCAGUGGGGUUUUAUUUAAAUAGUGUUUAUUGAGGGCCAACUGCAUGUCAGGUACCAUUUCACAAAUGAAUAAGACAAAAGUUCAUGUCUGGAGGAUAAGGAAAUUUUAAAAAACCCAAAGUGCUACCCUAUCUAGGUAAAUACAGAAAGGUGGGUGUUCAGUGAAGUGAGUUAAUUGUCCUAGGAAAGGUGUGGAAACCAAGGAUGGGAUCCAUUGCAUGGGAUCCAAUAAAAAAAACUGCUCCAACCAGAAUGAGCAGAAGAGUAAAGACCCAGGAUGGCAGUUGUGCGUAAGUCUGGGAAGCAGCUCAUCGUUGAGUGGAGUAGGAAAGCUUCGGGGAGGUAAAUGGAAAUCCUUGAGAUUAUUACAUGGGGAUGGAAUGCAAAGAAAAAAAUUGGGACUAUAUUUUUCCACUUUAAAGUAUACAUUUAAAAUUAAAUCCAGGAACUGCAAGAGGAAAACAUCCAGAAAAGGCCUGAUGCAGCUUAUGAUGGAUUGAUCUGAACCUACAGGAGUAUCUCAAACAGGAGACCCCAUUUCAACCUGAAAUCUAAGAAUAUUCUCCAAAUGGCCCAGAGAAGGAAGUAUAAUCAGAAGACUGUGCUCAGCUACAGGAAACAGGUUUUAUGCAGUCUAAUCAUAGCAGCACUGCUUGUUGGUUUAUAACCUUUAGAAUCACAUUAUAAACAAGCCAAAGAAGGAUUAAUGUGACUAUAGGCAAAAUGUUAGUCAAAAAUGAUUAUUUUUUUUUUAAAUGUGCAAGUAAAAGUAGAUAGCAGGAUGUAGGAGUAGGGAGAAAAGGUUGAGUUACUAAGGUGCUCGGUUUAGAAAGUAGAGAAUCAGAAGAUACUGCAGCAACUUUGCAGAGGAGAGAACACUGGGGGCUGGGCAUAGAGAGGGAUCUCUGUCAGGAGUAGAGGGGCCAGAAUGUAUGUGAGCUAAAUCUUUGAUUUGCCUAGAAGAAAUUGGGUAGGAAGGGCCUACCAUGGUGCACCAAGAAAUAAUGACAUAUCAGGAUCUUUUGAAAAUAGGAAAAUACCCACCAGAAAUCCAAAACAUAAAUUAUUAAGAGUUUGGGGAAUGGGACUGGAGUUGGGGUUAGGGUUACAGUGGGCUAAAGUGGGGGACUCAUUUUUUUUUUAGUACUUUAGUACUUUUGAACAAUUUGAACUAUAUGCAUGAUGACAUUGAAUAAAUAUUUAAAACUUUUGAAGACUAGAAAUUUGUGAAAAGGAAGACUUAAGAAAAUGGCUUUCAAGAAUCAGUAAGACUAAAAAGAGCAUGCUACAGGGACACUGCUACAUGGAUGUUCAUAGCAGCACAAUUCACAAUAGCAAGACUGUGGAACCAACCUAGAUACCCUUCAAUAGACGAAUGGAUAAAAAAAAAAUGUGGCAUUUAUACACAAUGGAGUAUUACUCUGCAUUAAAAAAUGAUAAAAUCAUAGAAUUUGCAGGGAAAUGGAUGGCAUUAGAGCAGAUUAUGCUAAGUGAAGCUAGCCAAUCCCUAAAAAGCAAAUGCCAAAUGUCUUCUUUGAUAUAAGGAGAGUAACUAAG
This 4247-nucleotide long non-coding RNA is filed under the name Marmota monax (woodchuck). The record is from RNAcentral. Lineage: Eukaryota; Metazoa; Chordata; Mammalia; Rodentia; Sciuridae.